This is a non-coding RNA of Camellia sinensis, 1446 nucleotides long. The record is from RefSeq and is a predicted model, not a curated record. NCBI's taxonomy places the organism in Eukaryota, Viridiplantae, Streptophyta, Magnoliopsida, Ericales, Theaceae.
UGUUUAGAAACUGUAUUAUUGCAUGUUAAUGUUAUGAGGAAUUUGCACUUACAAUUAAGGAACACACACCCUAUGUGAGAAAUUUCUUGGAAAGUUCUAUGCUUGGGUUCACAAAAAAAAAAAAAAAAAAAAUCCACAUUACCUUUCUCUCUCUUUCAUUUUUGCAAUCUUAAGAUGAUUAAAUGUGCAACAUUAGGGUAUUCUUUUCAAAUGGGUUUAUCUAUUUUCUUUCAUAGACUUUGUUACAAACUGAUUUGACUUUUGUCUCUUGAAGGUCUCAAGGAAAAUUGAUAUGUUCCAAUUUCUUUUAUUUUUCACUGUCAAUAUCUAUCUACAUGUUCAAUUUCUUAAAUAGUUUACUUCCUUCAUGUUCCUAAGUGACAAGGUCAAUGAUCUUACUUUAUUGAAUUUUAGAUCCUCUUUCUUCAUUAAUUUACAUCACCAUCUAAAAUCUUGCUUGUAUUGACAUUAAUUGUAAUUCCAGUAGGAUCUAAGGCAUGACAUAAAAGAGAAUAGUCAUAAUUGUAGUCUUUGGAGCUAAUUUUAGCAGUCACUGUCAAUAUGCCACAUUUGUGAGAAGAUAUAUUCAUUACUAUCAUUAGAUUAAUUCUUUGUGGAACAAAUUCAAGGUGUCUAUUAUUGUUGGCAUGUAAUGAUAAUUUGUUAAUGAGUAAGAUAAAUACAAUCUGACUAGCAUAGAGCAUAGCAGCAAAUUGGGGUUUAAGAAUCCAAAUUAGGCUUCAGAAGAUGCUAAGAAAUUGGUUAAAUGGAAGUUGAUGCUUUGGAACCCUGAUUGUUGCAAUCAUGGUUUUGGUGCAUCUCUCAAAGAGUUUUUUGACUUGAUGCUGCAGUGUUAUAGUGGAAGUUGAUGCUUAUCUAAUACAUAGUCCAUUCAACUAUGUUUUUUUGGUUAUAUUCUUAUGCUUGUUGCAGUGAUUGAUAAUAAGUAGUAAUUUUCUUAAUCUGAGUUAUGUCCACAGAUAUUCUUUGACAUUAUUGAUUUCUUAUGUGGCAAUGUGCAUGUUAGAUGAGUAAUAUUUCAUGAGGCAGUUCCUGAUGUUAAAUUGUUUGUAGAAGAUGCUUGUUGCUUACUGUUGUUUGUUUUGUCCAAUAUUGUUAGGAGCUUGACGAACUUCUGGAGGAGGUUCAAGAGGCUAGAAGAAUUAAAUUGUUGCAUCAGCCCAGCAAGGUGAUUGACAUGGAACAUGAGCUUCAAGCUCUACGCAUGCAGAUUCGAGAAAAGUCUAUAAUUUCGGUUAAGCUCCAAAGAGAGCUGGCAAUGAGCAGGAGGGCUGAGGAGAACAAGUUCCGUGUAUAUGAGUUCUGUGGUUCUGAAACUUUAGGUUCAGCUUUGCGAGUUCAACCUUGCUCAGAUGAAGCUCAAGACCUGUCAAAAUGUUCAAUCCAGUGGUAUCGUAAACCGACUGAAGGUAGCAGAAGGGAACU